UGGGGUAUUUUGGACAAUGGGGGAAACCCUGAUCCAGCCAUCCCGCGUGUGCGAUGAAGGCCUUCGGGUUGUAAAGCACUUUUGGCAGGAAAGAAACGUCAUGGGUUAAUACCCCGUGAAACUGACGGUACCUGCAGAAUAAGCACCGGCUAACUACGUGCCAGCAGCCGCGGUAAUACGUAGGGUGCAAGCGUUAAUCGGAAUUACUGGGCGUAAAGCGUGCGCAGGCGGUUUGGAAAGAAAGAUGUGAAAUCCCAGAGCUCAACUUUGGAACUGCAUUUUUAACUACCGGGCUAGAGUGUGUCAGAGGGAGGUGGAAUUCCGCGUGUAGCAGUGAAAUGCGUAGAUAUGCGGAGGAACACCGAUGGCGAAGGCAGCCUCCUGGGAUAACACUGACGCUCAUGCACGAAAGCGUGGGGAGCAAACAGG
RNAcentral lists this ribosomal RNA (429 nucleotides) under Acidobacteriota bacterium. RNAcentral's name for it is "Acidobacteria bacterium partial 16S ribosomal RNA". It matches the Rfam family "Bacterial small subunit ribosomal RNA", at positions 355 to 776 of the family's 1533-position model. The record is from RNAcentral. Lineage: Bacteria; Pseudomonadati; Acidobacteriota.